GAUGAACGCUGGCGGCGUGCCUAAUACAUGCAAGUCGAGCGAACCACUUCGGUGGUGAGCGGCGAACGGGUGAGUAACACGUAGGUGAUCUGCCCAUCAGACGGGGACAACGAUUGGAAACGAUCGCUAAUACCGGAUAGGACGAAAGUUUAAAGGUGCUUCUGGCACCGCUGAUGGAUGAGCCUGCGGCGCAUUAGCUAGUUGGUAGGGUAAAGGCCUACCAAGGCGACGAUGCGUAGCCGACCUGAGAGGGUGAACGGCAACACUGGGACUGCGACACGGCCCAGACUCCUACGGGAGGCAGCAGUAGGGAAUCUUCCACAAUGGACGAAAGUCUGAUGGAGCAACGCCGCGUGAACGAUGAAGGCCUUCGGGUCGUAAAGUUCUGUUGUAAGGGAAGAACAAGUGCCGCAGGCAAUGGCGGCACCUUGACGGUACCUUGCGAGAAAGCCACGGCUAACUACGUGCCAGCCGCCGCAGUAA
RNAcentral lists this ribosomal RNA (483 nucleotides) under uncultured bacterium. RNAcentral describes it as "partial 16S ribosomal RNA". It matches the Rfam family "Bacterial small subunit ribosomal RNA", at positions 28 to 523 of the family's 1533-position model. The record is from RNAcentral.